This 465-nucleotide ribosomal RNA is filed under the name uncultured bacterium. RNAcentral describes it as "bacterial SSU rRNA". It matches the Rfam family "Bacterial small subunit ribosomal RNA", at positions 329 to 792 of the family's 1533-position model. The record is from RNAcentral.
CGCCAGACUCCUACGGGAGGCAGCAGUGAGGAAUAUUGGUCAAUGGGCUUACGCCUGAACCAGCCAAGUCGCGUGAGGGAAGACUGCCCUAUGGGUUGUAAACCUCUUUUGUCAGGGAGCAAUGGCGUCCACGUGUGGGCGUAUGGAGAGUACCUGAAGAAAAAGCAUCGGCUACUCCGUGCCAGCAGCCGCGGCAAUACGGAGGAUGCGAGCGUUAUCCGGAUUUAUUGGGUUUAAAGGGUGCGUAGGCGGGACCUUAAGUCAGCGGUAAAAUUGCGGUGCUCAACGCCGUAGAGCCGUUGAAACUGGGGUUCUUGAGUGAGCGAGAAGUAUGCGGAAUGCGUGGUGUAGCGGUGAAAUGCAUAGAUAUCACGCAGAACUCCGAUUGCGAAGGCAGCAUACCGGCGCGCAACUGACGCUCAUGCACGAAAGCGUGGGUAUCGAACAGGAUUAGAUACCCCAGUA